UAUAUUUAAAUAAUAUAUAUGCAUGCAGCAGGUUCCCAUAAAUCAGAAGCUUUGGUGCUUUGUCCUAGGCUGUUGGCCAUGCCCACUGGGAUUGCUGGGAGAUGUAGUUCAGCAACUUCUGGAGGACCAAAGGUUCCUCAUACCUGCCAGGGAGGGAGCCACUCCACCCUAAGAUACUUUGUCUUCAGACAACUCACAGUGCUCUCUCAGUCUUUGGUGUCUCCAAAAGUGAGACUGCCUUACUUUUUUCUUUCCCCCCUCCUGCCACCUCUCCCUCCCUGAAAUGUGAUUUCAGAACUUACUCUUGAACUGAAUUUCCUAAUUGCCUAUUCAGGGAACUGUGCAGUUUGUGCCUGCAGUUCUUUAUACACAUCCUUGGGAUCUUUCAGAGGCCUUCCCUGGCAUCCAUAAUGUCUUUUUGCCACUAAACCCACUGAAAUUUGGCUUCAAGAAGCAUUGUGUUGUAGCCAGUAGAAUAGAGUGUGGUGUGUGUUUCAUGCCCACAAGUGUUUCUCUGGUUCGCACACAUGCCCACAGGCUCCAAAAGUUUGGUAACCCCUAAGUAUACUUCCAACCAGGCAUGUAAGGGUUGCACUGUAAGAAACCUAGCUCUUAGUAUUCUUUUGCUAGGUCAUUGGCACUCAUUCCCAGCAGUCAAGCUGGCACAACUCAUAAAGCUAUAUCUUUUCCUGUUCUGCUUUUGGUCUUCAUUGAUUUUUAUUUAUGGCAGGCUUUCUGUGAAAGUAGCUUCAUUCACAGCUGAGUUGCGCUGUGAAAAUGUUUUGCUAGAGCUGUUAACGUAAACACAGAAGGACAAAUGGAAAAUUAAAAUAGAGCUUGCUUUUUCCUGGAAAGCAAGAUGGAGCCACCUUGUGGUGAUGACAUUCAUUUUGCAAUUAUUAUGAGCAAUGCUUGAGCUGUCAUCUGAUUUUGCAGGGUUCCAUCCCGGUAACAUUCAUCAGAUGAUCUUAGCUACCAAAAUCUGAUUCGGUUCAAAUUGUUUCUUUGUUCUGCAUUUCAUUUCUCUACUGUUCAUCUUCCAAAACACAGUCAGUAUAUUGUUAACACCUCCAGCUUUUCAAUUCUUUUGUCCACAAAUAAAAAUGUUGAUGUUCCUAUACAACAAGGGUAGCCCAAAUAGUGCCCUCCAGAUAUUGUUAUACUACAACUCCCAUCACAGCUGACUAUUGGCCAUGCUGGCUGGAGGUUAUGGGAGUUGUAGUCGAAAAUAUCUAGAGGGCAUCAUGUUGGCUAUCCUUGCUAUGCUACCUUGCAUUCUGCCCAUGCCCUGCAUCAAUAGAAAAAAGAAGCAACAACAAAUGCUAUGGUAGAUAAUUGUCCAUCCAGGAAUACUGAAAUGGCAGCAUCCCAUUAGGUCCAAGACCCUUAUGUUCUUAAGAGGUGUCCCUGGAUGGAAGGCCUGCUCUGUGCUAGCCUGGAGCUGGAGUAGUUAAUACCUGCCACUGCACUGUGGCUUAAAGACAAAGGCUAAUGGGGGUGAGGAUGGAAUUCGCCCCCUCCUAGUCCUUGACCUGGCUGGCAUGAACCAUCAGGAUUUGGACCUUGCAGUCGAUCUGCUUCUUCAUGCCCUUUCCCUCUUCCACUUAAGACUGCAUUGUGAGAAAGAAAUGACAAUAGCAUAGAUAAGAAGGAAGUCAGCAGAAAUCAAGUUGCCGGUAAUUAACAGUGCACAGCAAAAAGAAACACCUCCACAGUUUGAAGAGAUUCACCGUAAAUUAAAACAAGAGACACUGAAUUGCAAAGCAGAGGAAGCAAAUAUUUUUAUUAGACUACAAACUGAAAAUGCAAUAAUCCAUUGGUCCUAUUGGAAUGCUGGCCAGGUAAAAUCCUUAAUAAUCUUUUUUUUUUUUAAUUUGAGAAAAAUAAUUUUCAGUUCAGAGAAUGUGGGAUUCAAAAGAAAAAUCUAAAACUGUGCCUCUUCUCUGAGACAGCUGCUUUACAUCUGUCACUAUAUGUAAGGCACUGGAUUUAAGGCUUGUUCCUUUAAACAAUCUGACUGGCUCUUUCUGGAAUUCUGUUGUGUAUUUGUUUUGCUUUUUAUGUAGUGUAAUCUGUUGCUUUGUUGUUGUUUUUAAGUGAAACAAUUCUUAAGAAAAUCUUCUCACUCAUGUUGAUUCAAUUUAGUUCCAGUACAAUACUUCUGGAACUGUGAAUUUAAAAAAGUACCCCCAAGCUGGUAAAUUGUCUUUAUGAGUCAAUUUCACAUAUCCUGGUUAGUGUAAAUAACUUACAGUUUGCUCAGUGAUUGUAGUGUGGGAACUUAUCUGUGAGAGGCAGAUAACUGCAGCCUCCGUAUUAACAAGAAAAGUACUUCUUUGCAAAACACGUGAUUUAUGUGGAAUUCACUGACACUCACUUUUAUUGAGCUUUAACAAAGGAUUAAACCAGUUGUGCUUGGCUCUCCAGUUGUGUUUGGACCAUAACUCCUUUCUUCCCUGACCAUUGGUCAUGCUUCUUGGGGCUGAUGAAAGUUGGAGUCCUCUCUAACCACAUCUGGAAGACCACAGGCUCCCCAUCCCUGGAUUAAAUAAGAUGAACUCUCAGAGGAUAGGUAUAUCCAUAGUUUCUAGGCAUGAUGCCUAAAUAGAAGCUUUGAGCUUUCUCGAAACAUUCAUUUAGCCACUAUGGGAAAGAAGGUGCUGGAGUAAAGGGAGCAGCAAGCCAGACACCUCUGGAACACUCAAAAGCAAGGCAUGAUCAGGGCCAGCUCAAGACACUUUGGCACCUGAGGCAGACCCCAAAAUGGCACCUCCCUCCCUGCCAGGGAAGAAGGGAUUACGGAGGAUCAGGAACAAGUGGGGGAAGAAAGAUCUGCUGCCUCUAUGGAUCUUGCUGCCUGAGGCAGUCACUUCGCUGGCCCUGGAUAUGAUAUGAUUAUAGGUUUGGGGGAGGGUCCAUGUGGGUGAUAUCUGUGGGUUCCUUCCAGGCCUAUGAUCCUGUAUCUGUGAGGUAAUACUGUAAGGGAGGAAACCUGCUGAACCCAUCAUACCAGUUCCUUUGUUAAGAUAACAGCUUUGGCUGGUCAGUUAAGCAAUGCCAUUUACAUGUCCAAAGAGGUUGCCCUGUUGCCUUGGUGACAAAGUAGUGGUGCUUUUCCCACCUUACCUGUCUGCAUGCUAUGUUAUUAGACCAUUUAAUUUUCAAUACAUUUUUUUUAAUGUUCUAGGCUAGAGAAAACUGGACUAACUCCUUUUUUAAUAAUGAUUUUUAUUAACUUUUUAUUACAACACAUAAACACACGACACUUAAGAAACAAACUAAAAAGAAAACACAAAACACAUGACAAGCAUAUAGCCAUAACCCGAAAGCUCUUACUCACGGACUUAUGUUACCCUAUUUUCUAUUUCCGAUUCUUAUUCUAUUCUAAUAGACUUCCUUCCUCCUCAAAACGGGUCUAAUUUCUUGUUUGAUAAACUGCUUCUUUCUCAUUUCAUCAUUUCUACCCUUCUCAUAUACUAUACUUGUAGACCAUAUUUUGUUUUGCAAAAAUUACUCAGAGCAAGUCCAGGUUUUGAUUUGGCCACACUGGUUUUUUUAAGGUAAUCUAACUCCUAUAGGAUUCCUGUUGGGUCAGAAUUGUUGCAAAAAAUGUGCUGUAAUAAAGUUUUCUCUCAAGUUGUGUUCAGCUCACGGUAAACAUAAGUUUGUAGCACCUGGAGUUCCUUCCCUUGUUUUGCCCGCUAGUGGUGCUACCUCAUUUCCAGUUAAUUUUCUACCAUACCUUUUAUACAAAACUUGUGUCCUAGCCAUAGAACCCUGCAAUUUGUAUAACAUUUCUUUAUUUCUCAUUGGACUGUUUCAGUAAUUUGAAAGGAAUAGGUGAAAAAUCCCCGUUGACUUAUUUCUGCAGAUGUUUUUAAGGUGUGAUUUCCCCCCUCAUUCUUUUCUAACGCAUAACUUUUAGCAUCACUUUUGAGGCAGAACUCAUUCCUUUGAUGUAUAAUAAUUUGUUGCAUGAUCAGAGCUUCCAAAGACAAGAAAACCUUCAUUAUUCAUCAUGGAGCAUGGAUGGGAUUUGAUGAGCUCCGUGUCAGAAGGAAAAGGGAAGGAAUUAUUUAUGCUGCUUCUCUCAAACAUUUAUUGUGCACUGAAGUCAGACUGUAACCAUUUGAAGUGUAAUUCCGGAUUUAUUUGACUGGAAAUAUUCCAUUAUGUUUAGGUCCAAUGAAGGAUAGCAAACUGGACUGGUGGGAGCUGGCCAUUGUACGACAGAUAUCUGUUCUUUUGCAAUGUUCAAAUAAGAUUGGAACAACAUGGGAAAUGGGAUGUGUCUUGAUGGGCACGAAAAUAUGCAUCCUUGUAAGCAUUCCAUACUGUCUUACACUAUCCAAGUCUAGAAUAAGAAUCUUUUAUUCGCUUAUCUGUAAAAUUCCAAUUUCACUGUUGUCUUAAGGUCAAUAUUGCCUAUUCUAGGUUGUUUUUAGGUGGCAUCUAAUUAUGUGAGGCAUAGAAAAUGUGACACUAUAAAAUAUCGUAAGAUAAGAAUAUUUUCCCCUGUUUAGAUUAGUUCCUCUGGAAUAGACUGAUUAGUAGAAUUAAUCAAAAUCUAGCCAUUUGUCAGCUAGCGGAAGGAGAGACAAUAUGCAAACACAUCUUAUGAAUUUAGACUUUGCUAAUGUUAUCAGUUUACAGUGCCAGUCUUUAGGAAUCCCUUUUGGAAUUUACCACCAAUAGCUAAUUAAUACACUUCAGCAAAGCAUAUACCUAAAGUUGUUUUGCUGGUGGGUUUGAUUUUGGCUUUACAUAAAGGAGAGGAGAAUCUUUGAGUACAUUUUCUAUUUUUAUUAAUAAACAUAUCAUUCUGGUAUCACAUAAAUAUCCAAAUAUAAAACAUACAUACUCUAUAAUAGUGGUGGUGGUGGUGGUUGUUAUUCUUUUGUAACGAAAUCCAUCAUUUUAUAAGUCCAGGUCUCAAAAGUGCUUGUACAGGCAUUUCCGCACUUGUGCAUGAUUAGCACGCAUGUGCCCACAGACACAUGCAUCAUCCCAGUGAUGUGCCAGGAAUGGAACCCUCACAUAAGUGGGGAUUCCCCUGUAUAUGAUAGUGCCAAAGAGGAGACAAACAGGCAUGAGAGUUCUAGGAUGCUGCUAUUUUCAAACACAUGGUUUUUAUACCGUUUUGGAGAAUUCUGUUACAUAAAGAUUAACUCAACUGUUCCAUUGGUUUUUGAGAUGUAAACAUAAAGGAGACUUGCAGCUACUUACUAAAUUUUUAUCCCCAAACAGUCCUAAAAGACAUAAACAAGGAGACACAAUUUCUUCUAUAUAAAAGUGAAUUCCUAAAUUUAACUUAACAAAUUCUAAAUUCAGCUUUUACUAUCAUUUAAUCGAUGCAUCAACUUUUAGGAUUAUCCUUAUAAUAGCAUGUAUAUAUUAAGAUCGUGUAUUUCUUAGUUCAAAAUUUAUCAGUUGCUAUUUAUUUAAUUCUUAGUUCAACAUUUAUCAAUUUAUUAACUGAUGAACAAAACUUUAAACACAGUUUUGACCUUGAAUGAUAGAUUAAUCAUCCAACAGUCUUUAGAGAGGGUUCUGACCUUGCACACUGAUUCCUUUCCCCUCAAAUAACCCUGUGACCUGUGUGAUAAUGAUUCAACUCAACUUUCUUUCAAUAUUUAUAGAAAUUACCCAAAGUACAUUUUGGAUUAAGUUGAAAAAAAGUUAUGCAGAAUUCAGGGAGAGCUUACUUUGUGUCUUUGUGCCUUUCCAUGAUAUACUUUUUUGCUUUUUACACCGCUAAAUUCUAUACUCUGGUUUCUCUUCAGAUUGUAUAAUAAUAAUAAUAAUAAUAAUACAGUGGUACCUCGGGUUAAGUACUUAAUUCGUUCCAGAGGUCCGUUCUUAACCUGAAACUGUUCUCAACCUGAAACACCACUUUAGCUAAUGGGGCCUCCUCCUGCUGCCACGCCGCCGGAGCAUGAUUUCUGUUCUCAUCCUGAAGCAAAGUUCUUAACCCAAGGUACUAUUUCUGCAUUAGCGGAGUCUGUAACCUGAAGCAUAUUUAACCUGAAGUGUAUGUAUGAAGUACCACUGUAAUUUAUUAUUUAUACCCCUCCCAUCUGGUUGGGUUUCUUUUGCCUUUUUAAAAACUAAAUUCUUAAUUAUUUAUUGUGAACCAUUGCCAUGCCUUAACUACUAUUGUCUUCAGCCAUUCUUAGCAAUUUGAGGAUCUGAAGAAGCUUUUGCCUAAAAUAGCCUUUGCCAACUUGGUGCUGCCCAGAUAUUGUUGGACUACAACUCCUAUAUCAUCUCUGACCAUUGGGCAGCUGGGUGUCCAACAUCUGGAUGGUACUAGAUUAGCAAAUGCUGCUCUCAAAUUUGUAACAUUUCAGAAGUGUUCUCCAGCUUCCACAAAAGGGCAGACAUCAGCUUCUUAUAAAGAAAACCUGUUGUUUGUUCUGAAAGUAACACUGUUGAGGCCCAGAGCUUCCAGCUACAGUAACACCAACAGCCAAAAGAGACCUAUUUAUUUCUCACGCUGUGAGGAAAAUGGCUCCUUUUUCAGAUAUUAAUUCACCCAAUAGUACUUGUGGCAUAUCCUAGCAGGCUUGUUACAGUAUGUAUAUAGUCACAUGGUUAUCCAGUAACAUACUGCCCUGUAAUGAAAAUUCAACCACGAGUCAAUUGAUGAUCUUGCAGCUGGUUCUACUGCUUUGUGAACAGAUGUUGAUGUAGAUAAGACCUGAUGAUACGUGAUAAUUCUGACAAAGUACAUGAUGCACUCAUUUACUCCACCUGUCGCUGAGCUAACGAGCAUUUUCUGCAAUGGCACAGGUGUGCUUGUUGCAGAAGGACAAUGAGCUUUUACAAAAGGCAUUUGAGAGAGCAGUUAAUCUAGCUUUAUAGGGAGCACACCGAUUCAUCACUUGCAGCCACUCUUCACAAAGAAGCAUAUUGACUAACUGCACCUCAUAAAGGCAAAUGAAAAGGCCACAGGCUACUUAACGACUGUAUUAUUCGGCCAUAGAUUUGUGACUGAAGUCCAGAAAACAAAUGGUUACCUUGUCCAGUUGCCUGUCCAUAUGUGCAUUCCAGGUGUUCACUCCACAGGUAAGCCAGCUAGUAAGGAAAACGACUAACUAUAACAGGUUUGAUUUCUGUGUUGAGAUCCAGCAUGUUAAACUUACACAGAUGUGCUAUGCUUGGGAUUGCUCUUCUUGCAGAGUACACUGUUGAUCUCUUGUUAACACUGGAGUUAGCGGAAGUGUGAAGGAGGGAAUUGUUCCACCCUCAAACAUUUUCCCAUUCUUUUAAAUUUUUCAGAAUAUUGGGGAGGGGGGGGUUAAGACUCCCAGGAAACAUUUUCUAUAUAUUUUUGGAAACAGUAAAAUACGCGCACGUGUGUGUGUACAACCACUCAUAAAAUAAUACUUUGUGAUCUCUGAUAUUCAGACAUCUGCAAAUUUAGAAGAUCGGUCUGAUAGACACCAGAAUUGAAAAGAACAAUAUAUAAAUUGUCCCAUAGACAGCAGUGUCAUUUAAGAGGGAUGCAGUGGUACCCAGAAUGGGGAUGAGGUGGGUCUUCUACCUGCAGGAUGCUGCCACUGCCAUCAUAUAGGUGCUGUUGCCACAGUCCACCCCAGUAAACACCACACUGUUGUUUGGAGUCUGCCACUGCCGCUAUCUGCCCAUUUUGUUGCUGCGCAUGGAUCCGCUUUUAGCUCCUGGGGGAGAAAGUCAAACACUGGAAACAAAUCAUUCCAAUUUUCAGCUCUUUCCUAGUCAAUUGCAAGGGUUUGUAGGAAGACAACCAGUAGGAACCCUCCCACAGCAACCAUCCUUUGUGUUUCUACUUUUCAGUGUUACGAGUAAUGGGCUCUAGUGCUACGAGGAUAUAUUCAUAAGGAAGUGGAGAACCCUCUUCACACAAGGCUUUCUGCUUUGGUUUGUUUUAUAACACCAAGGUAGCUUGUUUAUUUCUAGGUUGGAAACAAUAUCCCGUUGAGAGCUUUAUUGUCGUCAGACUUGGAGACAACCCUCUCCUGCAGUGUACUUCAAGGACAUCUGGAAGAGAGGAAAAACACAAUCGAGCAUGAGAACCCCACCUUCUCACCACAGCAGUCCUGUUGGUUUAUAAAAUAUCUAUGCUAUGGAGUGAAUAGCCAAGGACUCUGGAUUGUCUGAACCUUCCCAGCGCAGCGCUCUGGGGUGUGUCUCAUGCACAGUGCUUCAGCAAGUGAUGUACACCUUUAUGCUUUGAUGGCAAUUUUGCCUUAGAAACCUUAGGUGGUAUCUAAUGGUGCAUGAGUGAAUUUUGGCUCACAGAAUGGACUCUCCCUGUCUCUGCUCCAACCUGCAGCUCCCCCCCCCCACCCGCCCUAUCACACGCAGCAACCAUCUGGAGCAGAUUUUGAUGAUGCAUGGCAGGGGGCUGCAGGAAGGGAGAGGAAGAGGAACUCCUCUUGUGGAAGCAGAAAUCUGCUCUGCAGCAGCAGCAGCAGCAGCUUCUGAAUAACAGUUACUGAAAAUCACAGGAGGGGAGAUGCUGGGAUUUUGCUUGCUCAUUUCCCACAGGCAAGUGUUCAGUCGCUGUGAGAACAGGACGCAGGACUAGAGGGGCUAUUGGUUUGAUCCCUCAGGCUUGUCUUGUCUUCUUAUAACCUAUCUUUGGCUGCAUACACACCAUAUAUUUAGAGUACAUUUAAAGCAUCUUCCCCAUUCCAAGAAUCCUGGGAACUCUAACUUACCAUUCACAGAGCUGCAAUUUCCAGCACCUUUCACAAAUUACAGUUCCCAGCAGCAGCUUUCAACUUACACAUUGUUAAGGGCCACAUGUAUGCUUGGUCUGUGAAUGGAUCUUCCAACACGUUCAUUUUUACUCUAAAGGAACCACAGAAGCUUCUUCCCCUGCCUGACCUAUUUUCCUGGUUUAAACCUCACCUGGCUGUUAUUUAGAUCCACAGUGGGAAUUUAAAAAGCAGACAGACACAAUACAGAUAUGUGCAUUUAUCAACCACAGAGCUAUUUGCACUUCAAGUUUGUGUGUGAUUUAGAUCAGGAAAAGAAAGAAGGGUUAAUCUUUUCCCUAAAUACUGCUCUUCCAAUCAUGUCAGUCUCAUAUCAUUGCCUGUCUGGACAAGUGGUAAUAUUUUGAGAAUGUGCUGGGAGUACCACUCACAAAAUGGCUGCCAUGGAGUGGGUGUGGCAUAGUACAAAAUGGGAGAGACAACUACUCCCAACAACCAUGGGAAAUCAGCUGUGUCGUGCAGGUCCUGAUUAGGGCGAUCACACACACACACACACACACACACACACACACACACACACUGGUGUUGCUGCUGUCUAGUAACAACAGGGAGCCUUCCGCAUUACCAGAAUAAAUAUUCAAGGUAGUCACACCACUCAUUUCAUGUAAAUUGUUUUGAAGGUACCUGGCAUUUUGCCCUAUAAUUUUAUUCUAGGAGGGCUAGAGAUGUAAAAGAAAGAUAUCUCAGAGUCUCUGUUGCUAGAAACAUGGGUUCAUAUUAAAUUAUUCUGCAAAAGUUCUCUGCAUUUUAAGUAGUUGCAUACUUACUGAACUAUGACAGAACCAAAUAUUGUUUCAUCUUGGUAGAGAUUGCAAUGUUCCCUGCUGCUAAUUAACUUUGACAAAUGGAUCGUUGUAUUUAUGAUACAGUGAUGAAGUAGGAAAGACUUGAUUUGCCAGUAUGUGUACUUCUGAUUCAUUUUUGUCUCUGUCCUCCUUCAUCCUCCAAAUGAGUGGCUUCACACCUCAGAGAGACUCUCAUCUUGCCAUACUUUAGAUGAUUUGAAACAAUGUAGGAUUUACCUUUGUCAGCAUUUUUCAGAAACACGGGAAGAUGUCAAUUGCUGCUGGCAGAAACUUCACCAACUACAAAGAAACAAUGGCUGUGAACUUCUUUAUGGCUUUUAGCAUCAAAGUAGCUGGGUGUCAUGACCCUGGGGUCAGACUCCCUUUCUUAAAGACUUAAGAAGAACCCUGCUGGUUCAGAGCAAAGGCUCCAUCUAGUCCAACAUCUUGUUCUGACAGUAGCCAGCCAGAUGGUUAUGGGAAGCCAGCAAACAGGACCUGAGGGCAGCAACACUCUCCCCACUUGUGAUUCUUAGCAAUGGUUAUUCAGAGGCAUAUUACCUCCACCUGUGGAGAUACAUCUUGCCCAUCAUGGUUAUUAGCCAUUGAUUGUCUAAUCCUCUUUUAAAGCUGUUCAAUUUGGUGGCCAUAACAACAUCCCAUGGAUGCUCUAGCUGUGUCAUCACAGAAGCUGUAUAGCCAGUGGAGAAUUCUUUGCACGUUAGAGGUGUUUAGACAGCUGGUGAAAAGUCAUAGAAUUAAGUAGUACCAGCUACACCAGUAGAGCUAGAAAUGCCGUACAUUUACAUUUUGGAAAUAUACAUCUAUUCUUGUGUGGAAUAAUUGCAUGCAGGCCCUGUUGUACCUUGCUGAUUUGCCAAUAUGUCAAUGUAUAUUUCAGUUGCGAUGCACAUUUGUUGUUGUUGUUAUACUACACCACACGUUAAAGAAUCAAUAGUAUGUAGUAGAACAGGCGUAGGCAAACUUGGCCCUCCAGAUGUUUUGGGACUACAAUUCCCAUCAUCCCUGACCACUGGUCCUGUUAGCUAGGGAUGAUGGGAGUUGUAGUCCCAAAACAUCUGGAGGGCUGAGUUUGCCUAUGCCUUUAGUAGAACAUGCAGAAGGUCCCAAUUUCAAUCCCUGGUCUCUCUAAUGAAUUUAUAUUGGGUGUAAGGGCUGAGGAAAAACCUCAGUCUGUGAUCCAACUGCUGGAAGGAUCAAUGGCCUGAUUUGGCACAAGGAACUUCAAUAUGUUAAUAUAUACUUCUUGCAGGAUAAUGAUGAAUUUGAGUACGGGGGACUAUUUUAGAACUCCUCAUACCUGUGUCUAGUAAAAACAAGCAGCCAUUAAUAAAAGGGUUGAACUUUCAAAUUAUGCAUGCAUAUAUAUUGGGAGGGUGUGCAAGGUUGACCCUACCUAUGUCUAGAGAAAACAAAACCUUAAAUUUUUUGGAAAUAAUAUGGCUUAGCAUAUAUAUAUAUAGGCAAAAUUCCUCACCUAUGCAAACUCUAUUCUGUUCCUUGCUUUGCGUUUUGUUUAAAUUGGCUUUGCUGUUGCUUUCUUGCUGUACAUUCUCCCUAUAUAGAGAACAGCUUUGAGAAAUAUAAAUGAGCCCACAGUUCUGAGGUGCAUUUCACUAAUUGGUUGAUUACAGGGUAGCAUAACUGAAGUAGCUGACAUUUAAUUGCUCUACUAGCUAUCAGAUGUAGAAAUAACAAGCAGCUGGGGCUGCAAAACCACAAAUGGAGAGUUUUGUUGAGAUUGGCUACUUGGAUUGACCCUGAACUGUUUUUCCUGACCUUUGGAUUUUGCUUGUGUGGAUUGACCCUCUGACUUUGAACUUUAGACUUGGCAUACUCAUUUGUUGCCAGGUAGGUCAGGGGUUCAGGACACAAAUUGUCCAAGGGGUCCUCACAUACCUACAGAGGAAGUAUGAAGAAAGACGGGUUAUUUCAAUAUUUCUGUGUAGGACUCUUCAGGCUGACAGCUCCAGCUAUUUCCUUUCCUCUCUGAAUUUGCCUAGUGAUCUGAAAUCCCAAUUAUAAUCACAUUUCAAAUUGGAGAUAACAAAAGAAUUGACAGCCCCUUGUGUCUGAACAAUUGUGAAUUCAUGCAUUUUUUCUACAUUUCUUUAAAGGAGCAUUUUAACUGUCAAAUGGAGUAUUCAGUUAAUUUCCGGCUAUAACGCUCACAUCACCAACCAGGGAAUUGGAUCCAAGCUUGCCUGCAGAGGCAGGCUUGAAGGCAGGGCUUUUCUUGGGGACGGGCCUGACAGAGCAUGUAGACUCCCCUCAGGUCUGCUCCUUGGAUAUAUAAGGCAUCUUCUAUCUUGGAAAUAUGGUCUGAAGCUCAACAUCAAAAAAAACUAAGAUCAUGGCCACUGGGCCCAUCACCUCCUGG
This is a non-coding RNA of Podarcis lilfordi (Lilford's wall lizard), 11951 nucleotides long. Lineage: Eukaryota; Metazoa; Chordata; Lepidosauria; Squamata; Lacertidae. The record is from the annotation of a GenBank genome assembly.